Long non-coding RNA from Cyprinus carpio carpio, 1202 nucleotides. NCBI's taxonomy places the organism in Eukaryota, Metazoa, Chordata, Actinopteri, Cypriniformes, Cyprinidae. The record is from Ensembl.
UGACAAACACACAACUGUUAGCCUUCAGAUGAGGGGUGCAAAAACAGGACAGAAAAUAGAGUAUUACUUCUAAAUUAUUAUGUUUUUUGAUGUAAAAACCUUGAUAGUAUUACAAAUGCACUUUAGAGAACGGUACAAAGUAAAAAAACUAAGGCCGUUCAUGACCCCUUUAAGGGUCUUUCACACCAAGAACGAUAACUGUAAAGUUUUAAUAAUCAUUCUAAUUGUAGGGGGCGGGAGGCUUCAGAUUCUAGAGAGCAUUUGAUUGGACAGAAGCUGAAGUGCAUGAUGAUGUCAUGUUUUCGAGCACACUACUUAAUAGAUAAACUUAUGGCUAACAUAUUCAUACUAAAAAACAUUGAUUUUGUGGGGACUGUAAAGAGUCAGACAAUAAAACUGCAGCCCACGCUUAUAAUAAACACAACGUUUUAGUGUACUGAUGUGGACGAUAGUUAUCAUUAUCUUUAUAGAUAUUGUUCUUAGUGCGAACGAGCCUUAACAUGCUAUUGGCCUGCGAUAAAAUGACAUAUCUGUGGAAGUUCACCACAUUAGUUAGAGAGAAAAAAAAAUAAUUUGUGAAAUAGGAAUUAUAAUGGAAUGAGAAUAAUCAAUAAUACUCAAUUCUUUGUGAAAAUAAGAGCAGGGGAAUGUAACUGAUGAAUUGAGAAACACAUUUACUUUCACAUAAUAAAUUGAACCCUGUCAGAAGCAUUUUUAUGUAAUCAAAAUUUAGACAAUCACAUCAUCAUACUAAUGCAUCGCCUGGCAAAUAUGAAAUUUAAAUAAUUUCACUUCAUAUUUGAUAAUGUGUCCACAUGCUCAGAAUAGAUAAAUAUAUAAAACAAAUUAACAGAACAACAUAAACAACCACUAAAAAAGCACCUUACUGUAGCUUUCACAGUACCUGGACAUCAUGGCAGCACAUUAUGUACAGGGCGGCUCAUGGAGAAGGUUUACGGCUUUGGGCGACAUUCAUCAGAUCCAAAUAUUCAGGUGCAUCUUUGAAAUGGUAAAGAGGCUGUUUAUAGAUCAACACAUCUGAAAGACGCUGGCGGGAGAAAAGAGAAACACACAGGAAGAGAGUGGGAAGAGAGAGACAGGACACAGAUGAGGGAAGAACACAGAAAAGAUCGUGACAGUACCUGCAGACACUCUGACCAGAGCCAGAGGAGACGAAGAAGUGAAAACACACUUUACAUCGC